UACAGAGGUCCCAAGCGUUGUUCGGAUUCACUGGGCGUAAAGGGUGCGUAGGUGGCAAGGUAAGUCGGAUGUGAAAUCUCCGAGCUCAACUCGGAAAUGGCAUUGGAAACUACCUUGCUAGAGGAUUGGAGGGGGGACUGGAAUUCUCGGUGUAGCAGUGAAAUGCGUAGAUAUCGAGAGGAACACCAGUGGCGAAGGCGAGUCCCUGGACAAUACCUGACACUGAGGCACGAAAGCUAGGGGAGCAAACAGG
This 253-nucleotide ribosomal RNA is filed under the name uncultured bacterium. Its description in RNAcentral is "partial 16S ribosomal RNA". It matches the Rfam family "Bacterial small subunit ribosomal RNA", at positions 524 to 776 of the family's 1533-position model. The record is from RNAcentral.